AUUGGUAGCCACAGAAGUUUUGAGAACAAUGUGGUACAUGGAAAAAAUAGGUUUGCUUCUGUUUGAAAAGUGUGCUUAGCAUUUUAAGUUGCUAUACCAGUGUAUAAAUUUGGUGCUCUGCUAAUUAUACUCUGUAGAAGCAGAUUAAUGGAGCUUAAGCCCUGCUUUGAUAAAUAGUGAAAGGUAAUUCUGUAGAAGAAUGUCAGCCACUACAACAGGGUGAAGUUAUUCUACUCUUACUAGUUUUAUAUUACGGGACAGUGUUGACCGGGAGCCAGAAGGCUUUAUGCUAACAGGUCAGAAAAAAGAUUGACUUAUAUGUUAUUUUCAUUCCUGUCCUGAUUGUAGGCAUGUUUUAAAUUUUAUAUUAUCCACAGUAUUUACAAAGACAUGUUUUGCAUUGAGAAAUUAACCCCAAAGGGAUUUGAGAGGAGGGAGUAGACCUCCAAUACCGAUGUAACUAAAGUCGGUCUAGUCAUUGUAAAUAUUUAUCUGUCAAUUUUGACACAUUGGGGCCAGCUUGAUGUUUUAAAUCUUGAGUAUAAAAAUUUAAAGGCUUAUUCAAUUUUUUACCAUUUUAUUGAAUAUAUUUGAAAUCUGUUUUUACAGUUUUUUUGGUAAUUGUGCCAUGAAAUUUGAAAACCACCAAAAAUUAAGAGAACUUUUAUAAAUUCCUUUUCUGGUGUAAUGUUAAGUUGUAUAGAUUAUUAAUGCAUGUCCAAUGAAUAUAACCCUGGUUUUGUGAUAAAUCUGCUUAGAUUUUAUUGGUGACAUGUUAGAUUAGUGGUUGCAUCAAAUAACUAAAUUCCAAAAAAAAAAAAAAAAG
RNAcentral lists this long non-coding RNA (826 nucleotides) under Marmota monax (woodchuck). Lineage: Eukaryota; Metazoa; Chordata; Mammalia; Rodentia; Sciuridae. The record is from RNAcentral.